GUUCUCUCAGAACUGCUUCAAAAAGAAAAAAUAAAGGCCAUUAUUUUAGUUAUUUUUGAAGGUUCCAUUUUUAUCACCAUAUUUCCAAUUGUAUUUGUUGAUUUGUUGACUCCUUUCGUUUUGACAGUAAUAACCUCCCUUCAUUUGGUUUGUCAGCCAGAGAUGUUGAGAGAGAGAGAGGCUGGAAUAAAUGGGAAAGUAAAGUCUACAUCAUAUUUACCACUUGAGAAAAAAAUUGGAACUCCACCGCUUCUCUUCUUCUUUUGUUUUGCACCCAACCCAACCUGCCAACUGGCCAAUCAUAACAUGAGAUGGCCUCUCCAUGAUCGUUGUGUAGCCAACCAGUAGCCACCAGUCACGGGGACACGUUCCCAGUUCCCACACCUGAUGAAGGGCCACAACACCUUAUUUCCACAAGUGCAGUAUAAAGUACAAAGACUUCUUGCUCUGCUACAUAUCAUGAAAGAAGGGUGGUCCCUUGAUUCUGCUGGAAGAAUACCUGGAGAAGAUUGGGUGACUGAGGAGGAGAAGGAACCCGGAGAUUAUUUUUUUUAUUUUUUUUUUAGCAAAUGCCUCUUUUCCCUGUUUUGCUUUGGCGUCUGUGGAAGAGGAUUUUUUGCAGAGACCAACUUUUUGCUGCUGUUUUUUAAACAAGAUGGAAAACCUUUAUAGACACAUUAUGCUCAAAGCAUGCAAACUGACACCGAUAUAUAUAGACAUGAACACACUCUUACCAAACACACAUGCAUACAUACAGGCCAACACACACACACACACACACACACACACACACACACACACACACACACACACACACACACACACACACACACACACACACACACACACACACAUAUUCUCUCAGACAUCCUACAGUAUGUGCAUUUGCCAACUUAAACAUACACGCGGACAGACAGACACACACAUAAACACACACACACACACACACACACAUAUACACACACCAGCUGCCAUUUUGGUUUUCGUGCCUACACAGGUGAUGUGCUCUGUGACAGGCGAGCUCUGAGAAAAGAAGAAGUGAAAUGGAGAAUCCAGGAGAAUUUACAUGCAUCAUUCCUUAGGAAAUAGGGACCAAAGGACUUAACGCUUUUUAAAAGAAUAUAAAUAUAUAUACAUAUAUAUAUAUAUAUAUAUUUAAAAAACUCUUACCUUGUAGCUGCAAGUAUUACAAUUUAAUAGUAGUCAAAAUAAAUCAUUAAAUCAAUAUCCAGUGGCCUAAGUAAGAAUAAAAAGAUAAAGGAAAUAAUGUAUACAUUGAAAAAAAGACAAGGAAACGUAGUAAAGGGGCUGAUUAUUAUGUUCUGGUUGCUGUUUUGCCACCAGUUAGUAGAUUAGAAAAUGUAGAAUACUAGAAAAGUAGAUUUGCUCUUUUUUGCUGUAAUUUUUUUUAAAGAAAAAAAUACUUGAACUUGUAAAGUAAGGGAGGGAUGAAAAAGAUACAAUUAUUCAUUUGGUCUGUCCCGUCCCAGUGGGCUUUGGGGCAUUGGGGUCUCUCUCUUGGAUGUUACGGUCGGGCCGCUGGACAUGUCCCUCAUCAUGGUGUACAACUCACUCACAGCACUAUCUGACAGCUAUAAAGGAACUGUUUUUGAGAAGAGGGGGAAGAAGAAGAGAAAAGACAGAUUAACCUUCCGAGUGUCUGUGCUGGACAGGGUGCAGAUAUGAGAGGCUUAUUUCCCACAAGCCUUUGUGUUCAAGCGACAAUCCACUGUAAAAACCAAGCAAAUCGGACAUGGUGUGUUCUUUUCUUUUGAGCUCUAUUAUUACGACAGGGAGUGUGCUAUUAUAAAAGUUAUUAAAGAAAUGCAUAAAGAGAAGCUUCCGCAAACAAGAUGGACUAAUGGACAAAAAUUAAGGCAAGCAGAGAAGAAAAUGAUUGAGUUGAUAGCUACUGAAACUGCCAAAGGAGUGGACUCAACAGUAUAACAAUGAAUUGGCUCUCGUGGCGUUUGAGUAAACGAAAAAAAUAGACCCAUUAAAAAUAACCAUGUUUUAGGCAAGAGCGAGAAAGAGAGAGAGGGAUAGGGAUAUUUGUGUCCGCUGAAGCCGUUCUAAAGCUCUGGUGAGAUUCAGAAACAUCGCCUCAUCUCCCCGGCUGCAGAACAGACACAAGCAGAACUUGCUCUGAAAGACACACUAGAUUUAUCGAUGGCAAAACAGUGGAAGCUUUUAGAGCUCAUUUAACUUUGUCGUAUAUAAUGUACAUGCCACUGUUAACAUGUCCCAUCCCUGACCUGCUUUUUUUUCAAAUAUUAUAUAAUGAGCCUGUGGAAAAACCUACCUAUCCGACUCAACCUAACCUAACACAGUCUGAAUUACAGCCAUACCACAGCCAUCAUUCAGCACCUCCCUGCCAAUCCAUGCCUAGCAGAACACAGCUCUGAACUCUUAACUUGUCAGGCUUUGACUUAGUGUCCACGAGACCCUUUAUUUGGACUAUUUCACAGUGGUGGAUGCAGCUGGCCCCUCUAUGAAAACCAGAUCGAUAUGUUUGCUACGAGUCUCGAGGAAGGAUAAGAUGGCAAGUCAUUCACUGUCCACACUUCCUCAAGUUCUCUCAGUAGAACACCAGCUCUCCCCCCUCCCUCACAACUCCCUGAGAGUUGACUGAAGGCAUAUGGAGGGGGAGGUAGAGCUGGACAGGGAAGAGAAGGGGAGAGGAAAGUGGGAGAAGUCAACAGCCAAACCCUGAUCUCUGAGCUCUACUCCACGCCAGCAUGUCCAACCUCGUCUUACUUUAUCCUUUAAAGUGAUGCUUCUUGGAGUUUUCCCCCGGGGACCGAAGCCACAGCAAGCGCAGCCUCCAUGUAUCUGUGCUGGCUUGCUCUUGGGGAAUGGGAUUGAAGGGUUGAUAAGGAAUCACUUGGCAUGUAUUAGGUACCUGCUGCCUUCUGUCCAGCCUGUGUCUGUUUACCUCUGGGACUUGCUCUCCAAAGCAGAGCGGACGCAUUCCAAGUCACUGACUGAAAGCCCUGCCUGCCUGCCUGCCUGCCUGCAUCACACAAGAGACAUCAAGACACAUGACUUUCAUUCUCUUUCUCCCAGCUGCUUAAAUACAACACAAUGCCACUCUUUUCUGUGAGCGAAAAGCUCUUGGAUUUGUCUUGAUUUGUAUCCUUGUUUUUAUCAUACCACAUUACUGUAAUGAAUGUUAGCUUCUGACUUUGUGUUUGUGUUCCUCUGCUAUGAAUAGACACUGUUCUGUUCCAUCAUGCCUUCCAGAACGCCAACCUAGCUGUUCAUAGCUGUUCAGCUGUUCCCCUGGAACAAUGUUUCAAACCAACCUGCAGUUCAGUGUUUGGCUUCAGUCGCCUUCGAUUAUCUCUUCCUCCAUAUUAGACAUGCUAUUUCACCUUUCCCUCUAAUCACGUUGUAAUAGUGAGGCUCUAUACAUUAACACCAACCAAGUGAAAAGUCAUCUGCAUAAUCACAUGGACCAAAUGACAGUGGGGAUGGUCCCUUGAAUGCUCUGUGAUGACAGAAGGUAGAUUAGAGAGAAUUAUGUUUGUAGCGGCUCCCUGGCAAGGAUGCCGACAGCUGACCUGGCACCGAUAUCACCGCAGCCGUAUUUAUGAUGGAGAUGGGAUCCAGGAAGCAGGAUGAAACCCUCCAUGUCAAAGCUACUCUGGGUAUUAAUGUUGGAUAUUUGAUUGGCGUGGGUAUAGAUUAUGUUGAAGAUAAGGCAAAAGAGACCCGGUUUGAAAUAUUGCUCCAGGCACAAAAGGUACUGAACAAUAGCAGGUUGAAAUGGUUAGCAGACAACCAACUCUUCCAUUUAAAAACCCUCAGUUCCUCUGUUGCAGCUGCCUGCCGGGUGGCCUGUGCUAUUGUACUUCAGCUUUCAGCACUUAAUUGUGUCUCAACAAUCUCCUCAGAGGCCGCCAUUUUCCACAAAACAACCAGCUCUAAAACAUUUGUCUUUUUCACGGCAGUAUUGCAGUCGGGACACCUGCAAAGCACAGAAUAUUGUUCAGAACUGGAGGUGCACAGUAGUUAUUUUGAAUCAAAACGAUGCCCAUUGAAAAAACAGUGCCAGCUUUGGUCAUGGGUUGUCGCAACUUGCCUUCAAAAACAGUAAAAACACUCAACCUUUAGUUGUUGUGAAGUCAGCCAAACAUGUAGGAAUUAGGAAGCCACAUGCAUUAAUGUGAAGUAGGUCAAUAUGAAUGCAUGUUCUUCACAGCAGCCCCUUUGUGCUCAUUAUUUAUGUAAUGCUGAAUUAAUCAAUAGGAAACCUAAUGUUCCGUGAGCGAUGAAAUCUCCUAUGCUUGUCUCUCUGCCGCUUCAAAAGCACCUCCUGCAAGACUAGUCCCAUUAGCCUCCCCAUGAGCCCUCUGAUGGCUCCUACACCAGAUAAAUGCUGCAUACCCCUACAGUCAACUUAGAGCAAGGUUAGGUUCAGCCUAGGUCCAAUCCCCUGCCCAGUUUUAUAUUCCCUGCUUGGCUAACGUGCUACGCUUGUAUAGCCUUCCUGUUGCACCAGGGAGCUGCAGAAACAUGCUUGGGAAGGCUAGAUUAGACAAUGUUAAAUCAGGGGUCUGUUUGAACGAGGGUACUCUUAUUGCUCUUCUACACAGGGGAGGAAGGUUAUUAGUGUGACAUGCAGUGAAAACAGAAAUAGCUGUAGUGAAGCCAGGCUCUGGAACAUCAGAAAUGAGAAGUGGGUUUUAUAUCCUUCUUUUACUGACUGCAGAAGGCUGCCAGCUCAGCCCAUCUCAGCUCAGAUCUGGCCCUGUCUGGCCUUAAGUCGAGGCACAGGCUGUCUGGAGAAUGUUAACUUAGGGGUGACUCGCCUUACGCAGGACUGAAAUCCACCCACUCAUGUUCAGAUGAGAAUAUUUAGAUUGACAUUAUAGGUUAUUGAUGUUGUUAGUUCAACUCACUUUAUGUCUGUUUGGAAACAUAGUACCAGUCAAAAGUUUGGACACGCCUGCUCAUUCAAGGGUUUUUCUUUAUUUUUUACUAUAUUCUACAUUGUAGAAUAAUAGUGGAGGCUUCAAAACUAUAAAAUAACACAUAUGGAAUCAUGUAGUGACCAAAAAAGUGUUAAACCAAUCUAAAUAUAUUUGAGAUUUUAGGUUCUUCAAAGUAGCCACCCAUUGCCUUGAUGACAGCUUUGCCCACUCUUGGCAUUCUCUCAACCAGCUUCACCUGGAAUGCUUUUCCAACAGUCUUGGAGGAGUUCCCACAUAUUCUGAGCACUUGUUGGCUGCUUUUCCUUAACUCUGCGGUCCAACUCAUCCCAAACCAUCUUAAUUGGGUUGAGGUCGGGUGAUUGUGGAGGCCAGGUCAUCUGAUGCAGCACCAUCACUCUCCUUCUUGGUCAAAUAGCCCUUACACAGCCUGGAGGUGUGUUGGGUCAUUGUCCUGUUGAAAAACAAAUGAUAGUCCCACUUAGUGCAAACAAGAUGGGAUGGCGUAUCGCUGUAGAAUACUGUGAUAGAAAUGCUGGUUAAGUGUGCCUUGAAUUCUAAAUAAAUCCCAGACAGUGUCACCAGUAAAGCACCCCCACACCAUCACACCUCCUCCUCCAUGCUUCACGGUGGGAAUUACACAUGUGGAGAUUAUCCGUUCACCUACUCUGCGUCUCACAAAGACACGGCGGUUUGAACAAAAUCUCAAAUUUGGACUCAUCAGACCAAAACACAGAUUUCCACCGGUCUAAUGAUGAUUGCACGUGAUUCUUGGCCCAAGCAAGUCUCUUCUUCUUAUUUAUGUCCUUUAGUAGUGGUUUCUUUGCAGUAAGGCCUGAUUCACACAGUCUCCUCUGAACAAUUGAUGUUGAGUUGUAUCUGUUACUUGAACUCUGUGAAGCAUUUAAUUGGGCUGCAAUUUCUGAGGCUGGAACUCUAAUGAACUUAUCCUCUGCAGCAGACAUAACUCUGGGUCUUCAUUUUCCUGUGUCUGUCCUCAUGAGAGCCAGUUUCAUCAUAGUGCUUGAUGGUUUUUGUAACUGCACUUGAAUAAACUUUCAACGCUCUUGAAAUGUUCCAUAAUGACUGACCUUCAUGUCUUAAAGUAAUGAUGGAAUCAUUUCUCUUUGCUUAUUUGAGCUGUUCUUGCCAUAAAAUGGACUUGGUAUUUUACCAAAUAGGACUAUCUUCUGAUUACCACCCCUACCUUGUCACAACACAACUGAUUGGUUCAAACGCAUUAAGAAGGAAAGAAAUUCCACAAAUGAACUUUUAACAAGGCACACCUGUUAAUUGAAAAGCAUUCCAGGUGACUACCUCAUGAAGCUGGUUAAGAGAAUGCCAUGCAUGUGCAAAGCUGUCAUCAAGGCAAAAGGUGGCUACUUUGAAGAAUCUCAAAUAUAAAUAUAUUUUGAUUUGUUUAUCACUUUUUUGGUUACUUAAUGAUUCCAUAUGUGUUAUUUCAUAGUUUUGAUGUCUUCACUAUUAUUCUACAUUGUAGAUAAAAGUAAAAAUAAAGAAAAACCCUUGAAUGGGCAGGUGUGUCCAAACUUUUGACUGGUACUGUAUGUAAAAUAUAAUAUAACAAAAACAUAUUUAUGGUCAUGUCAACAGUCACUGUAAUGUCUGACCUUCUCAUGUAACAUUAGCACCUGUGAGGCAGUUAUUCACAUUUCUUAACCUCUGGUUAUUCUGCCUCCUCUACUGGCUCUAGUUAUAAUACCUUCCUAGUUUGCAUUCCAUAAAGUCUGUCCUCAUGAGGAGUUAGAAACCUCAGAGCUCCGAGGCUGACAGAGGGGCAGGGUAACCAAUCCUAAGAGCCGAAGAGGUUGACUAAGAGCCUAGAUAACCAAUCAUCUGAGCUAUGAAGCUGGUGGAUGGGUUGAAUAACCAAUCCUAGUGAGCAAAGAGAGAUCUGCCUAGCAUGUCUAGCAGACCCCAGCCCCUGGGUGUAGAGAACACUCACCCUAAAAUAGCAGUGAUUGUCAAGGAAAGGAAGUGAAAUGUAAUUGACUGAAAGUGGAGAGAUAAUUAAAGGAACCUGUUGGACAGGAGGGAGAAAUUAAUGGCUCUCAUUUAAUAGCUGCUUUGGGAGAAGAGGAGAGCUUUUCCGUCAUCUCGCUUAGGCAACGCAAAAAGGGGUUUUCGCCGUGGAAAUGGGAUUUUAGCUGAGAGGGGAAGUGAAGUGGGUUUGGAGGGGGGGGUUGGGUGCUAAACUGAAACUCCACAAAGUCACUUCGAUACUCAGGGCAUCAGGCGCUAUGAUGUCAUGAUUAGUGGAAACUUUCAGAGCCUUGCCUUCCCCAUGGGCCCUGCCUGCCUUGUCAGGCUGGGGAGGAAUAAGAGCUGCGUAUUCACCCAGAGGCGCAGAGAGUAUGGUGGGAGCUGGGGGAGCAUGUUGGACCUCUGCCAGGGCAGCUGGAGGAGCCAGAGACAGAAUCACACUGUCAGUCAGUCACGGGGAGUGCUGUCUGUCAUUGAAACAUUAAUGCCUUGGAUCCAUCAGGUCAUCGUGCAAUUUUAAAAGACACUAAAAGGAAGACUUUGAUCCUAUCAUAAACAACAUAAAGAGCAGUCAAUCACAGAAAAGUGUGGGAUCAUGUUUGACAACAAAGCUGGAGAUUCGAAUCAAAGUGAUGGAGACAGAAUUUUUUAUUCCUUCAUGUAAAUAAUUGAACACAAACAAAUGAGUCAGGAAGUAAGAACUGUACAGUAGAGAGGUCUGUCUAUAGUAGUCACCUGGCUGUGUGGACAUUGAUGUCACUAUAAAACGUAUCCACAGCAGUGCAGGGAAUCUUUGGAGAGGGUGGGAUAUUUUAACCUUUUGGCCUUUUGGUUACUGAGUAAAUAUGAAUGAAUAUGCACUAUACACUCAGCUGAACACCACCCUACAUAACAGGGAGAAGAUAGCAGAGAUCUGAUUCUAGAUGAUUUAGUAGGGCUUCAAUUCCAGCCUGGAGCAAUCCAUUAAUUAGGUUUACACUGACACAUCAUGAUAUUUCUGACAGUUGAAAGAUUGCCUGCGCACUAGCUAAUUGGAUUAAGUCCAAUCGGAGCUGAUGAGACUGAUAUAUGUGACCUCAAAGACGUGAAGAGUAGGCCCGCCCUCAGUCUGCUCCGUGCCAUGCAGAGGAGCAGGUGAUAGUGACAGCAGCCGUUAGUUCGCUAGUCGCUAGCUAGCUAGCUUGCCAUCGGGGCUGGGCGGCGCCCGCCAGUCACCGCUAUACUCCACAGUUCCACGGGUAUGGGCAGAAGGGGGUGAAGGGUUGCCAGAUUGGAGCUGAAAACAUAUUUACGCAUUAUCCAAACACAGAACACAGGUGUAUGAUGAGAAAAAGAGAGGGACAGGUGAGCCGGAUGCACUGCUACUAGAAUGAAUGACUACCCUGCAGAUCUCCCUGCCUCUGUGGCCUGCCCCUGCCUCUGCUCUCCCCACGGCCCGAGUACACAGCUGCCUGUGGUACUCCUGUACAUAUUACAUAGCUUAUUUUUUAAUUCUGUUAAGGCUUCUUUAUAGACGACCGUACAAUAAAUCAUGUUGGAAAAAAAGAAAGAAAUAGUUCAUAUAUUUCACUGACUACGAGAAGGAAACUAUGAAAUAAUUUAUCAAAUUUAUCAACAGUAGGGAUUUUUUUUUUUCUUGUAUAUUGAAGUGCUGAUGUUAAAAUGGAUUUUAUAUUAAUGUUGGUAAAUGGUUCUUUUUUUCCAUUCUCUUCUGUUUUCUGUUUUGUUAUCUGCUGAAGCUGGGAUGGACCCAUUGUCUCAAGGUUUAUUCUGAUAUGCUUUGAAGAUACAUGUUGAAGGGACUUUUUGCUACACAAUCCUGUAUGGAAUUACUUGUAAAUGGGCAAGUUUAAAGACAUGCUGUUGACAGAAAGCUCUUACAUUCAGUACAAGACUUAGAAACUGGACUGUAAAAGAUGAUAAAAGGUCAUGGGGAUUCAUAAAGAUGAAUCCAUUGCACAACACAAUUUUGAGAGGACGCAUCGGCUGUAAGUAACGUUCAAAAGGAUUUCAUUGUCGACCUUCUGUUCUUUUGGAAAACCUCAGAACAUUUGUUGUCAGAUUUGUUUUGAAAAAUAAGCUGUCAUUUACCGUGAUCAUUGUCUUUUAGCCAUACAUUUCUCUUUUGUUUGAUCAUUUCUUUCUUCAUCUUGAAUGUUUUUUUUCUAGAAAAAGAAUCAGAGACAUCUCUUUUAUUGUCAUCUUUUCUGUAUGCGGGAAGUUUCUCUCAGACAUAAUUUCUUAAGAGCUAUUUCAACAUUACUGGACAAACUUGUAUAUAACAACUGUGGUUGACUCCAACACCACUGAAGAAAAUGUGCCACUAACAGAUUAAAAGUUCCACAACACUGUUUUGGUCUAGUCAGGUCAACCCAUGGCCUUGACACCAAACUGAUCAAGAGAGGGAAGUCUGCCUUAAAACACAUGCAUUCUCUCUGGCAGUAUUACCUUAAAAAAUGUAUCACAUACAUUGUAUCCUGGGGAUGCCAAUGCUAGUUCUUUUCCAUUGUUCGUAAACAUGCUCUGGUUUUUCCUUGCUGAGAUGAUGAGUUUCUGUUUAAUUGAAAUGCAGCUGUCAGUUGUAAAGAUUGCCUUGUGUCAGUUUUGCUUCAAUCCCACUUCUGACACCAAUAAGGACGGGGUCAUACAGUACAGUUACAUUUCCAUCGGUUACAUGGACCAAAUUUUACCACAUGAAAUCAACAGAGCAGAGUUGCCCUAAUCAAACAUGAAAUGAGAGCCUUUGUGCAACCAUUAAGAUAUAAAGGAAAGCGAAAAUCAUCCACUGUACUUUGCUUCAUGAGACAUUACAUUCCCAGCUUCUCUUUCGCAUUUCAUCCACUUGAUUUUACUUCUGUCAGACAUAUAAAACAUGUAAUUUUAUGUAUUUUAUCAUAAUUUAUUUUAGGUACUUAUUAGCUGAUUUAUUUAUAUUUUAGAUAUAAUUGUAUAUCUUUCUCAUUUUUACUUGAACAAAGUUAGUUGAUUAUCCCUAUUUUCUCAAAACAGAACUGUAAUUUGACUUAGUGUUGGCACGGGUCUGUUUUCCCUAAUUCGGGGUGGUUCCUCCCAUAGUGCUCCUGAACUGUAGUUCUCUAGUUCAUUAUAUUCUGCUUAGACUAAAAUAAAGCACAGUCCUGUAGAAGAUUGAGCCUGCAUUGUCCUCCUUUUAUUGAUUCAAUAAUAUACAAUCAACUGAAGUCUGCUGAACUUGGAAGAGCAUGCCUUGACAUGGCCUUGGUUGGUAUAGCUGUAAAACAUCUUGUGGU
Oncorhynchus tshawytscha (Chinook salmon) is the source of this 10207-nucleotide long non-coding RNA. The record is from Ensembl. Lineage: Eukaryota; Metazoa; Chordata; Actinopteri; Salmoniformes; Salmonidae.